GACGAACGCUGGCGGCGUGCUUAACACAUGCAAGUCGAACGGAAAGGCCCUGCUUUUGUGGGGUGCUCGAGUGGCGAACGGGUGAGUAACACGUGAGUAACCUGCCCUUGACUUUGGGAUAACUUCAGGAAACUGGGGCUAAUACCGGAUAGGAUCUCUUGCUGCAUGGUGGGGGUUGGAAAGUUUCGGCGGUUGGGGAUGGUAUCGCGGCUUAUCAGCUUGUUGGUGGGGUUGGUGCUUACCAAGGCUUUGACGGGUAGCCGGCCUGGGAGGGUUACCGGCCACAUUGGGCCUGAGAUACGGCCCAGACUCCUACGUGCGGCAGCAGUGGGGAAUAUUGCACAAUGGGCGGAAGCCUGAUGCAGCAACGCCGCGUGCGGGAUGACGGCCUUCGGGUUGUAAACCGCUUUCGCAUGUGACGAAGCGUGAGUGACGGUAAUGGGUAAAGAAGCACCGGCUAACUACGUG
Molecule: ribosomal RNA, 468 nt
Filed under: uncultured bacterium
Lineage: Bacteria
Description: partial 16S ribosomal RNA
Rfam family: Bacterial small subunit ribosomal RNA
Source: RNAcentral